CUGUUUAGACCCCAGUCGUAUCUGUGGACAGUGUUAGGAAUGGUUGUUUAGAGAUAGAUGCUGGUGGGUAUGAAUCUCGUAGGUCAGUACUGCCUCUGUACAAGAUAUGGGCUGAUCGGGCGUGUGGGUAAAUUGUACACCUCUACGCAGAGUAAUUAAUCUAUCUGGAUAGCCAAGGCUCUCAGUCAAGAGCUCAUUUGGUCAAAGCUCCCAUUGACUAGUCAUAACCUACUUCACAAAAAUAGUGUAACUCAGGCCGGUAAUCUCUGAUGAAUCCUGAUGCUCAUAAAACUUGAGGACCGAUAGGGAGGUAGAUUUCCCCUCCAGGACCAACAGCUUACAAAUAUUUGCAUUUCAUCCUCUUCAAUAUUAUAACCAAGUACGCUAUGCAUAAAACUAGCCCUCAGGCAACUAGUAGCUACUCCUCGAAAAUCUGCAUGAAAUAAUACAAUAAAUGUGGGAUUUGUUGAGUACCCUUUGUAUGGUGCUCACCCUUGCUUCCCCUUCCUUUCUUUCUUCAGAGGAAGAAGUGCCUGGUGAAGAAAACAAGGACCUUGAGAAUCAGCCAUAGGAGCCAAGCUGCCUGUAGGCUUGAAACUGCUACGUAGGACUCCGCUCUUUAAAUAAGGUUGAGGCUAAGGCCCUUCUUGUACUAUUAGUAGUGUGCAUUCUCUUUACAAUCUAAUGUAAAUUAUCAAUAAAAGUUGUACGAAGUAUGGAUGUGAUACUUCUUGUGUGAAGUACCCAUAUCAUCUACUGAUCCAGGGAAUGAUACGAAUGGCGUUCGGGGUCCCUUUUUAGAGGCAAUCCCCACAUGUCUCGUAGGGUAGUACCGCCAAAAGGCUUUGGUAUGGGCUACCCAAUG
Molecule: long non-coding RNA, 865 nt
Filed under: Setaria viridis
Lineage: Eukaryota; Viridiplantae; Streptophyta; Magnoliopsida; Poales; Poaceae
Description: long non-coding RNA (SVIR_LNC011092)
Source: RNAcentral